Molecule: ribosomal RNA, 497 nt
Filed under: uncultured bacterium
Lineage: Bacteria
Description: partial 16S ribosomal RNA
Rfam family: Bacterial small subunit ribosomal RNA
Source: RNAcentral
GAUGAACGCUGGCGGCGUGCCUAAUACAUGCAAGUCGAGCGAACAGACGAGGAGCUUGCUCCUCUGACGUUAGCGGCGGACGGGUGAGUAACACGUGGAUGACCUACCUAUAAGACUGGGAUAACUUCGGGAAACCGGAGCUAAUGCCGGAUAAUAUAUUGAACCGCAUGGUUCAAUAGUGAAAGACGGUUUUGCUGUCACUUAUAGAUGGAUCCGCGCCGCAUUAGCUAGUUGGUAAGGUAACGGCUUACCAAGGCAACGAUGCGUAGCCGACCUGAGAGGGUGAUCGGCCACACUGGAACUGAGACACGGUCCAGACUCCUACGGGAGGCAGCAGUAGGGAAUCUUCCGCAAUGGGCGAAAGCCUGACGGAGCAACGCCGCGUGAGUGAUGAAGGUCUUCGGAUCGUAAAACUCCGUUAUUAGGGAAGAACAAAUGUGUAAGUAACUAUGCACGUCUUGACGGUACCUAAUCAGAAAGCCACGGCUAACUACGUG